AUUGAACGCUGGCGGCAUGCCUUACACAUGCAGGUCGAACGGCAGCACGGGUGCUUGCACCUGGUGGCGAGUGGCGAACGGGUGAGUAAUACAUCGGAACAUGUCCUGUAGUGGGGGAUAGCCCGGCGAAAGCCGGAUUAAUACCGCAUACGAUCCACGGAUGAAAGCGGGGGACCUUCGGGCCUCGCGCUAUAGGGUUGGCCGAUGGCUGAUUAGCUAGUUGGUGGGGUAAAGGCCUACCAAGGCGACGAUCAGUAGCUGGUCUGAGAGGACGACCAGCCACACUGGGACUGAGACACGGCCCAGACUCCUACGGGAGGCAGCAGUGGGGAAUUUUGGACAAUGGGCGAAAGCCUGAUCCAGCAAUGCCGCGUGUGUGAAGAAGGCCUUCGGGUUGUAAAGCACUUUUGUCCGGAAAGAAAUCCUUGACUCUAAUACAGUCGGGGGAUGACGGUACCGGAAGAAUAAGCACCGGCUAACUACGUG
Molecule: ribosomal RNA, 486 nt
Filed under: uncultured bacterium
Lineage: Bacteria
Description: partial 16S ribosomal RNA
Rfam family: Bacterial small subunit ribosomal RNA
Source: RNAcentral